GAUGAACGCUGGCGGCGUGCCUAAUACAUGCAAGUCGAGCGAACAGACGAGGAGCUUGCUCCUCUGACGUUAGCGGCGGACGGGUGAGUAACACGUGGAUAACCUACCUAUAAGACUGGGAUAACUUCGGGAAACCGGAGCUAAUACCGGAUAAUAUAUUGAACCGCAUGGUUCAAUAGUGAAAGACGGUUUUGCUGUCACUUAUAGAUGGAUCCGCGCCGCAUUAGCUAGUUGGUAAGGUAACGGCUUACCAAGGCAACGAUGCGUAGCCGACCUGAGAGGGUGAUCGGCCACACUGGAACUGAGACACGGUCCAGACUCCUACGGGAGGCAGCAGUAGGGAAUCUUCCGCAAUGGGCGAAAGCUUGACGGAGCAACGCCGCGUGAGUGAUGAAGGUCUUCGGAUCGUAAAACGCUGUUAUUAGGGAAGAACAAAUGUGUAAGUAACUAUGCACGUCUUGACGGUACCUAAUCAGAAAGCCACGGCUAACUACGU
Molecule: ribosomal RNA, 496 nt
Filed under: uncultured bacterium
Lineage: Bacteria
Description: partial 16S ribosomal RNA
Rfam family: Bacterial small subunit ribosomal RNA
Source: RNAcentral